Molecule: long non-coding RNA, 11265 nt
Filed under: Lathyrus oleraceus (garden pea)
Lineage: Eukaryota; Viridiplantae; Streptophyta; Magnoliopsida; Fabales; Fabaceae
Description: Pisum sativum (pea) long non-coding RNA (PSAT_LNC039100)
Source: RNAcentral
CUUCACCUCCACCACCUUAUGAGUACAAGUCACCUCCACCACCCUCACCUUCACCACCACCACCAUAUGUGUACAAGUCACCCCCUCCUCCACCAUAUGAACACAAGGCUCCAUCUUAUGUGUACAAAUCCCCACCGCCUCCAUCUCCUUCACCACCACCUCCUUAUGUAUACAAGUCACCACCUCCACCAUCCCCAUCACCACCACCUCCUUAUGUAUACAAGUCACCACCUCCACCAUCCUCAUCACCUCCUCCUCCAUACAUUUACAAGUCUCCACCACCACCACCAUAUGAACACAAGGCUCCAUCAUAUGUGUACAAGUCACCACCUCCCCCAUCUCCAUCACCACCACCUCCUUAUGUGUACAAGUCACCACCUCCACCACCAUAUGUGUACAAGUCACCACCUCCUCCAUCUCCAUCACCCCCACCACCAUACUAUUACAAGAGUCCUCCACCACCCUCUCCCUCGCCUCCACCUCCUUACUACUACAAAUCUCCUCCACCACCCUCACCUUCACCUCCACCUCCUUACUACUACAAUCUCCAUCACCCCCACCACCAUACUAUUACAAGAGUCCUCCACCACCCUCUCCCUCGCCUCCACCUCCUUACUACUACAAAUCUCCUCCACCACCCUCACCUUCACCUCCACCUCCUUACUACUACAAAUCUCCUCCACCACCCUCACCUUCACCUCCCCCACCAUACUAUUACAAGUCUCCACCACCACCUUCUCCCUCACCACCACCUCCAUAUUACUACAAAUCUCCACCACCACCCUCACCCUCCCCUCCCCCACCGUACUACUACAACUCUCCCCCACCACCAUAUAUACACAAGGAUCCACCAUACUAUUACAAGUCCCCGCCACCACCUUCACCAUCUCCACCACCACCGUACUACUACAAAUCUCCUCCCACUCCAUCUCCUAUUCCCCAUACCCCAUACUACUACAAAUCUCCUCCCCCUCCAUCUCCUAUUCCCCAUACCCCAUACUACUACAAGUCUCCCCCACCACCCAAGGUCCUUCCACCACCAUACUAUUAUAACUCUCCUCCUCCACCUGUUGUGUAUCCUCACCCACAUCCCUACCACCACUCAUUGAUUGUGAAGGUAAUCGGUAAAGUCUACAGCUUCAGGUGUUAUGACUGGGAGUAUCCUGAAAAAUCUCAUGACAAGAAACAUCUCAAAGGUACAUUACAUUACUACCACAUCCCUACCACCACUCAUUGAUUGUGAAGGUAAUCGGUAAAGUCUACAGCUUCAGGUGUUAUGACUGGGAGUAUCCUGAAAAAUCUCAUGACAAGAAACAUCUCAAAGGUACAUUACAUUACUAAGGAUUAGACUUCUUUAGAGUAAUGAGUUUAGAGUAUAUUCUUAACUAAUUGUCUGUUAAAUUAUUUAUUUAUUUUUUAAAUUUAAUUUUAAUUAAUAUAACAUUGGCAUAGUUUUAAUCAUUAAUGUUUUUGAAGAAAAUAAAAUACUAUCAGUUUUGUUUUAGGAUAUAUAUCCAUAGAUAAUCAAAUAUAAAAUGUAACUUAAUUUCUAUACAUAAUACAAAACAUGAGUUCCUAAGAACCGGCCUCAUAAAAUUAAUUUUGACAAGUAUUGUUUAACAUUCUGCUAUUUUAAUAAUAUUGUCCAAUAUAAUAAGUGUCUUCAAAUUUUACUUAAACUAAUUUUGUUUUGGGGCAGGUGCUGUUGUUGAGGUGACAUGCAAAGCUGGGAGCAAAAUCAUUAAGGCUUAUGGUAAAACUAAGAUCAACGGAAAGUACAGCAUUACAGUUGAGGACUUUGACUAUGUCAAAUAUGGUGCCACAGUGUGCAAGGCCGCCCUUUAUGCUCCACCUAAAGGCUCCCCCUUUAACAUACCUACUAAGCUAAACGAGAACUAAAUUGUACUUGUGUUCCAAAGACUAAGUAUGUAGGCUGGGCUUAAGGCUAAGCCAUUUGCUUAUGCUUCAAAGAAACAUUUUAAAGAAUGUGAGAAGCCCAAGCCUUCACCAACUCCAUACUACUACAAAUCACCUCCACCUCCCACACCAGUUUACAAGCACAAAUCGCCACCUCCACCGGUCCAUUAUUAUUCACCUCCAUAUUACUACAAGUCACCUCCUCCUCCUGUGAAAUCGCCACCAACUCCUUACUACUACAAAUCACCUCCACCUCCCUCACCGAUUUACAAGUACAACUCACCACCUCCACCGGUUUACAAGUACAAGUCGCCUCCUCCCCCGGUCCAUUAUCCCUCACCAGUUUACAAGUACAACUCACCACCUCCCCCAGUCCAUUAUUACACUCCUCCAUAUUCCUACAAAUCACCUCCACCUCCCUCUCCGGUUUACAAAUACAACUCACCACCUCCACCGGUCCAUCAUGAUUCUCCCCCAUACUACUACAAGUCACCUCCACCCCCCUCACCAGUACUCCUCCAUAUUCCUACAAAUCACCUCCACCUCCCUCUCCGGUUUACAAAUACAACUCACCACCUCCACCGGUCCAUCAUGAUUCUCCCCCAUACUACUACAAGUCACCUCCACCCCCCUCACCAGUUUACAAGUACAACUCUCCACCUCCACCAGUUUACAAGUAUAAGUCGCCUCCUCCCCCGGUCCACUAUCCAUCACCGGUUUACAAGUACAACUCACCACCUCCACCGGUUUAUAAGUACAACUCACCACCUCCUCCAGUCCAUUAUUAUUCUCCUCCAUAUUACUACAAGUCACCUCCACCUCCUUCUCCGAUUUACAAAUACAACUCACCACCUCCACCAGUCCAUCAUGAUUCUCCCCCAUAUUACUACAAGUCACCUCCACCCCCCUCACCGGUUUACAAGUACAACUCACCACCUCCACCGGUUUAUAAGUACAACUCACCACCUCCACCGGUUCAUUAUUAUUCUCCUCCAUAUUACUACAAGUCACCUCCACCUCCAUCUCCGGUUUACAAAUACAACUCACCACCUCCACCGGUCCAUCAUGAUUCUCCCCCAUAUUACUACAAGUCACCUCCACCCCCCUCACCGGUUUACAAGUACAACUCACCACCUCCACCAGUAUACAAGUACAAGUCACCUCCACCCCCCUCACCGGUUUACAAGUAUAACUCACCACCUCCACCAGUAUACAAGUACAAGUCACCUCCUCCCCCAGUCCAUUAUCCCUCACCGGUUUAUAAGUACAACUCACCACCACCUCCAUAUUAUUACAAGUCCCCACCUCCACCAUCCCCGUCCCCUCCUCCACCAUACUAUUAUAAGUCCCCACCACCACCCUCGCCAUCUCCACCGCCACCUUACUAUUAUAAGUCACCUCCUCCACCUAAGGAGAUUUCAAACCCACCAUACUACUAUAAGUCACCACCCCCACCAUCACCUUCCCCUCCUCCACCAUACUAUUAUAAGUCCCCACCUCCACCAUCACCAUCCCCACCCCCUCCAUACUAUUACAAAUCUCCUCCACCACCAUCACCAUCACCACCACCUCCCUACUAUUACAAAUCACCUCCACCACCAUCACCAUCUCCUCCCCCUCCAUACUAUUACAAAUCUCCACCACCUCCAUCACCAUCUCCACCCCCUCCCUACUAUUACAAAUCACCUCCACCACCCUCACCAUCGCCGCCACCUCCUUACUAUUACAAAUCUCCCCCACCUCCAUCUCCAUCACCACCACCUCCUUAUCACUAUCAAAGUCCUCCUCCACCAUCUCCCAUUUCUCAUCCUCCCUACUACUACAAAUCCCCUCCACCACCAUCGUCGUCUCCUCCACCUCCUUACCAAUAUGUGAGUCCUCCCCCACCGGUAAAGUCACCUCCACCACCAGCUUAUAUUUAUGCUUCACCACCACCACCCAUCUACAACUAAGCUCAAACUGCAGAAGCACCAUUCAUGAUAAAUCAUGUAAGUUUAUCAUUUUUAUUGUUAUUAGUUUGUGUUUUUGUGUGUUAUAUACCUGAUAAUAACCAAAAUUCCUAUUCUUAUUUGUUUUCAGGUUCCAGUUUUCAUCUAGGAAUAAAGUCAAUCUCCAUUUGGAGCAAAGUGAAACUUCUAGCUUCAUGUCUAAAUUCGUUAAAUAAAUGUCUGGAUAUAUCAUCUUUGAGUUAUAAUAUUUAUGAUCCAGACAAUAUUUAUUUUAUUUCUUUGGUGCCAAUCUUGCACUUCCUUGUCUUAUUCUAUUCAAGGGAUAGACAAAUCUAAAGGGAGAAGCGAGAUUAGUUUAUUUGUGGUCUCUUUGAUUUAUUUGUGUAUAGAUCAAUAUGGAUGUGUAUUAUAGUUUUUUAUUUAUUGAAGAAUUUUUUAUUGUAACCAGCUAUUGUGUUUGCCAAAAGUUGUUAUCAAAUAAGAAUCACAUUCAACUUCUGUCAAUUAUUACUUGUUUCUUUCUAACAGCUACCAUUCAUGCAAAUGUGGCUAUUUAAAAUAGCGCCAACAUACAUUAAAAGCUUUCAAACAAUGCAUAAACAAAGUUGCAUGCUUACUCUUAAGAAUGUGACAGGGUUACUCGUGUACCUUGUUAGUUGUCCAUGAAUUUAUGUUCAUAGGAGUUAUAUGGCGUAGCUGCACUUAGUUGCUUUAUGUAUGCAAGAUUUUCCUUUCUAUAAAUAAGCACGGUGUGAUUAAUUCAAACAAUGAAGUAAGAACCAUUCCCCUCCAUAUUCCUUUCUAUUCUUCAAUCAUGAAUUGCUCUUUCAUAUAAGAUGGUAUCUGAGUCAGAGCACACCUAGUGCUCUACUUCAAGAGUAUCAGUUCAUUACUGUCGGAAACAUUAUGAUCCCUAAUUGAAAGAGAUCAUAAUGUUUUAAGGUUUCUAUUAACAUUUUUGAGAAAGGGUUCAAAAUAUUACAUUCUCAUGUUUUGCAAAGUUUGAUAUAAUUAUUCUCAGGUAUUAUUUAUUCUAAGGAAUAGAAUUUCCUCAUGUUUUACUAUUUUAAAUUGUAAUAUAAUAAUAGACGCUGAGAAUCUUUUAUUAUCUUGAGAAUAAAAAUAACUAACAACAACUUCACACAUUACUUCACACGUUCCUAUAUUUUAUAAUAAAUAAAUUGAAAAAAAAAUCCUGAAAUUAACAUGUACAUACCUAACGCAUUUGAAAACUGUUAUUCCCAAAAAAAUAUAUUUGCUAAUAGAAAUUGCCAGGACUUCAUUACUAAGAAUAUAAUUCUAUACCAAGAGAAAAGCUUAUGCAUUGAUACAUAACAAGACUAUUCCAUAUCCUAAUCAGAAUCCUUACUUUCACUUAAGUAUGGUCUUGGAAAGGACAACUAUUCUUUGAAAACUUGGUCAUGGUUAAAUGCUGACAAAUGAAGGACAUUCCAGAGGGAUAUGGCAAAUGACAAUAUCUGCCUUCAAUGUCCUGACUAUCCAGAAACAGUUAUGCACAUACAGCAGGAUUGAGAGAAAGUGAGGAACUACUGGACUGAGUUGAUUUACCGAGAUUAUUUGGCGCAAAUUUGUUCAGCUCAGGACUCCAACAACGGCUGGAGUGGAACCUUUCAGCUUCUAAUAUUGCUAACUAUCCAAGGAAGUGGGCAUAUUUACUAGUUAAUUAAGGCCAUUCCUCCUCAACUAUUGAUUGGGUUCUAGUUGAUUCUAUUUUCCCUUCUAUGAGUACUUUAUUGGCAGAUAGUGUAAGGGGUUGUAGCCUGCCUCUUUUGAUUUCUUAAUACAAUCAUUUUUGUGUUUAAAAAAAUAACGACCCCACAUAAGAUUAAUGGUUUGGGUUUAGAUAACUUCAGUCUGAAAAAAUGGCAAAACCCAACACCACCAAAACCUGAUAAUUUUUAGAUCAUAGAGGUUGGUGGAGUGCUCAUCCAUAUAACUUUAACAUAAUUAACUGUUCAAAAAGGAAAAAGCUUUAUUUAUUUUCAACGUGAUGUGAUUUACUCUUAUCUGCUCAACAUUUUAAGAAUCCAAAGUGACUCCCUAAUCCCUCUCUUUUUUCUAGCCUUUUCACAUUACCACUGUGGUUACCACAUUUCCUUAUGGAAUCAGUAUCCAAGCUAUGUUUAAAACCAUUUGAGCAUUUUGUGUUAAAAAUCAUCUAAUAGAAUGAAGGUUAUAUAUUUCUCUUAAAUUCAACAAUGAUUUUGAAUUUGAUUGGCGGAUGGCGUUCCAUGGCGGAGAGCCAAAAUCCCACCAUUCCAACCGCUUUGCGGUGCCGUUAUAACGGAUUAUGGCAGAAAACCCCACAGUACCGGCCAAUAGGCAUUGACUACCAUAAACAAUGUCUGUAUGUGUGAGAGAGGUGCACUAUAGUAUUGACCAAUUUAAGUAUAUUAUUAGUAGCUUCACAUGGGGACAUAAUUGAUGCACAAAUUUUAUAUAUGCUAGUAACUAUAAAAAUGGGGCAUAUGCUCUGUCAAAAAAACACAAAAAAAAAGGUAUAUGCAAUGGAAGUCACCGCCAGCUUAGCACUAAGAGUAAAUAAGUUGAUCUGUUGGAGAAAACCAAAACGUUGCUUCUUGCAACACCUCUCUUAAACUAGCACAUAUGUCUAUUUUAACAAUAUUGCAUCUCUCUCUGAUCAUAAACUCCUUUCAAUAUAUAAAAUUAUUGUUAAAUAUAAGUCUAUUUUAUAUAACUAUAUAUACAUUUUUUUAUUUUUUUUCAAAUAUACUUCUUAUAAGUACUAUUAAUUUUUCUUAAGUGAUAAAAAGUCAAGAGUUCUAUAGAUCUAUAAACAAAACAAUAUUUUAGUAACACCUACACACAAAAAACAACAACCAAAGUGGGAUUAUAUGAUCAAAUUAUGCUAUAAUGUUCCAUCGAUAAUCAUACUUUUAUCCAUCUCAUUAAUUUUAAGAUUUUUCUUCACCGUUUCUCGUAUAAAUUUUAUAGAUUUUUCUCUAUCUCUAACAGUUUGACUAUCCUGUGUCCUCACACUAGUUGAGACUCCCUCGUACAUAUACUGGAUAACUUAAAUAUAAACAAUCCUAACCCCUACUUUCUCUAAGGUUUUCCACGUGAUCUCUCUAGACAUUUUAUCAUAUGUUUUCUCUUGAUUGAUGAAAAUUAAGUGCGAGUCUUGAUACAUCUGAUACCGCUCUAUCACACAUCGUAGUAAAUAGAACGCUUUCGUAAUAGACCCCCGACGUAAAACUAAAUUGAUCAUCCUAAACUUGAGUCUCUCUUUUUUUAAUACAUUCAAUCAUUGUUCCCAUAACUUUAUGAUAUGACUUAUAAGUUUAAGAGAAAUGAUACUAUGACACCAAAUGAUACCCUUAUACCGUAAUUUCUUCCACAAAUAUAUACUCAUCAUUUUUUAAUAAUUUUUUAUCUCUUUUUGAAAUCUGUGCCAAACUAAAGCAAGUGCAUACCUACGGCGUAGAUGGCAUACGGUGUAACAAAAUGGUGUCAUCAUAGCAUAGUUCUAAGUUUAAUCCAGGUAUAAUUUGCACAAUUUUGUAUAUCUCUCAUGUUCUUAUAAAUCAAAAUUAAAGUGAUUUAGUUAUAUCCAUCUGGCAUUUGCUUUGAACUUAAAUUUUGUUAAAAAAUUUGGUGAAUUAAUUAAUGCCUCUAUCUCUAAAACUUGUUUACACCCGAUAGAUGUAUUGUCUAGCACAAUUUUCCUGCUAUUACUCAUCCUUUUCAACCUUUCUUACCUUAUUUUUUUGAAUCCAUAGAUGGUAGUUAUAGUUUCGAUCCUCCUCUUAAUGUCCAGUCGGUUUAAAUUAGGUAAUAUCUCAUAUCCUCCUUUAAAUAACUCGUGUAAAUAAACACAUUAAAUAGACUAUACUUCUUUCAAUACUACUAUAUGUAAAAAAAUGUCAUAGACUUGUAAAAAGUAACAGAAAUAUUAUGUAUUUUUCCACUAACAUGUUGAUAAGAAACAAAUAAAAUACGGAGGAAUAACUCUUUUGUCAAAUUUUAACAAGGGAGAAGGAUAUCACAUCAUUUUAGAAGAGAGGUGAUAACAGAUCUAAGUUUGAAUAGUAGAAAAAUAUCAUGGGAUUAACUCGUAUAGUACAGAUAAUUCUGUUAUGGAAGAUUGACCUUCCAACAAAAUAAAACUAUAUUUUUAAUUGGUAAAGGCUUAGUUGUCGAUUUAUAAAUAUAUACUAUUACAUUAUCUAACAGCACCAAACCCAGUUUCAUAACGGUAGUCUGCACUGCACGUUUCAUUCAUUUAUUGGUGCCUUAAUUUUGUGUUACAAGCCGACAUUGAUCAGUUGCUAAAAACUAUGCAACAAUUAAAAACAAACGAGAACAAAAAAAUAUUGUACACCCACUUUCACAAGUAUUAAAAAUUACUGUAAUAACAAUUUUUCUGUCAAAUUUAAACAGCAAACUAAUAUAAUAUGUUUUUUUUUUUAUAAAUCGAGUAUCCUCUACGCGCAACUGCAAACUGGAGGGGAGGACUACAAUAGACGGAAAAAUUCUCCCUCAAAAGAUUAAAAACUGCUGCAUGUCCAGAAUUGAAUUCGAACCUAAGACCUCUGAUUAAACUAGAAGAGACCUUUACCAUCUUAACCAAGUGCUUUUAAGCUCCACAAUAAUUAGAACAAAUUUUCACUAGCUUUUGGAUUUAUAAUGUUUUAAUUCCGUUUUUAGAAUUAUUCCCUUCUAUGUUAAUGAAAUAAUUGAGUCCAUAAUGCCUGCACGUUUCUUUCUCUUUUUUUUUAUAUGAAUAAUUUCUUCCUUUGUUACUAAUAUAAAUAACUUAAAUAUACUAGUAAACUCUUCAACACAGAUUUUUUUUCAAAACACUUCUUUCUAUUAGUUGAAUUUCAUUUAUGUGAAUCCUACAAAAUUUUGCAGGCUCAUAAAUUUCAACCAAUAAGAAUGAGUAUAUGAAAAAAUAUAUGUUAAAGAUUAUGUUGGUAUCACAUCUUAUAUGAGAUAAACCCUACACUAGAAAGGUAGAUGCAUUGUACAAAUAAAGCAACAAAGCUAUUUAGAAAGUGUUUUCCCAAACAAAGACAUAUUAAGAAAAGUUAAACUUUUGACUUAAAGACUCGGCUAAAAUUCAAGAUCUAAAUAAAACCCCAUCCACUUAUUACUUCUUGCACAAAACUAAAAUAAUCUGAAUUUGCUAAUAAUAUUUCCUGGUUAUUGUUUCUAUUUUUUCUCCCUUAAAAUCGGCAAUGUGCUAUUAUGCAUUUCAUCAUGGAUAUGGCAACAUCCCAUGUUCAUCUCAUAAUUGAGAAAACACAUGUCUGGGAAAAAGUCUUAACGAAAGUGAUUAAAUAAAAGAAUAGAAGUAAUAAAAGGUGAACCAGAUUAAAGAUUAAGUUUAAUUCAUUCUUCUUCAGUAGUCCUUCCCUCAUAAUUCCUACCCCAGGCCUCACAUUAUAUGCAUUUAGGUAAAUUUUAAGUUUUAUAAUUAUGGAUAUUCAAUAACUUGAUAUUGAUUUUUAUUUCAAUUUAUCCUAAAUUUGUAAACCUGCAAACAAUAGGCCAGUAGGUAAAUUUGGAUUAUUCUUUAUCACUAGCUAUAAAAAGGUUCUGUAAAAAAAAGUACAUUUGAAAUUUAUCCCAAAAAAAUAUAGAUAAAAUAAAUAACGAAAGUCAAACGAAUAUAUUUCACGGCUAAAUAAAGAAAUAAAAGAUUCCAAACAAAAUUCAUGACCACUUCACUUACCAUUCCUUCAAAAACAAUAAAGAAUACAUUUUUUUUAAAAAGAGAAAAAAAAACAGAAAAUAGUUAGUAAAAAAAAGUAUUUUGUACUAGUUUGUUUUUCAACAAGAUAGGCAAACCAGCAGGGUUGCUAGGAGGAAAUUACCACGCUAAAUUCUCUAAUCAUUCCAUUUUGUUAAGAUGCUGAGUUAUAAUUUAAUUAGUAGUUAGAGAUUGUAAAUUUGUAAUAGUGACAGGCUCUAGCUAAUUUGAGUAACAUAAUGUAAUGGGAAAGAAGUGGCCAACUAGGAGACUUAAUUUAAAGCAUUUAAACCAAUAUGAAAACAGUUGAAUAUUUGAAUUGGUCCUACGCGAUGGCCACCCCUUAACGAUUCACACACUAUAAAUACUUAGUCUUUCAUUAAGCUUUUCACAGUAAUCACUACUAACACAAACACCUCUUGUUUCUUUCCAUCUUUUCCUCUAAUUCUAAGAAUAUUAUUAGUGAGGAUCUAAUAACAUAAGCAUUGGAGGUGUCAAGUUUUUUCUUUCUACCCAUGACUGCUAUGGCCAGUAGCCCCAAAAGGGGUCAUAACUGGCCACCAAUGGCAAUGGCAUUGGCCAUUGUUUUGAUUUCCACUACUGUAGUUUCUGCUGCUGCAGAUAGUUAUAUUUACUCUUCACCUCCACCACCUUACGAGUACAAGUCACCUCCACCACCCUCACCUUCACCACCACCACCAUAUGUGUACAAGUCACCCCCUCCUCCACCAUAUGAGCACAAGGCUCCAUCUUAUGUCUACAAAUCACCACCACCUCCUUAUGUUUACAAGUCACCCCCUCCACCAUCCCCAUCACCACCUCCUCCAUACAUUUACAAGUCUCCACCACCACCACCAUAUGAGCACAAGGCUCCAUCAUAUGUGUACAAGUCACCAUCUCCUCCAUCUCCAUCGCCACCACCUCCUUAUGUAUACAAGUCACCGCCUCCUCCAUCUCCAUCGCCACCACCUCCUUAUGUAUACAAGUCACCGCCUCCUCCAUCUCCAUCACCCCCACCACCAUACUAUUACAAGAGUCCUCCACCACCCUCUCCCUCACCUCCACCUCCUUACUACUACAAAUCUCCUCCACCACCCUCUCCCUCACCUCCACCUCCUUACUACUACAAAUCUCCUCCACCACCAUCACCUUCACCUCCUCCACCAUACUAUUACAAGUCUCCACCACCACCACCUUCCUCACCANACUACUACAAAUCUCCUCCACCACCCUCUCCCUCACCUCCACCUCCUUACUACUACAAAUCUCCUCCACCACCAUCACCUUCACCUCCUCCACCAUACUAUUACAAGUCUCCACCACCACCACCUUCCUCACCACCACCUCCAUAUUACUACAAAUCUCCCCCACCACCCUCACCCUCCCCUCCCCCACCAUACUACUACAAGUCUCCUCCACCACCAUAUAUACACAAGGAUCCACCAUACUACUACAAGUCCCCACCACCACCUUCACCAUCUCCUCCUCCACCCUACUACUACAAAUCUCCCCCACCUCCUUCACCAUCUCCACCACCACCAUACUACUACAAAUCUCCUCCUCCUCCAUCUCCUAUUCCCCAUACCCCUUACUACUACAAAUCUCCUCCCCCUCCAUCUCCUAUUUCCCAUACUCCAUACUACUACAAGUCCCCACCACCAC